RNAcentral lists this ribosomal RNA (591 nucleotides) under Asparagopsis taxiformis. RNAcentral's name for it is "eukaryotic LSU rRNA". It matches the Rfam family "Eukaryotic large subunit ribosomal RNA", at positions 147 to 776 of the family's 3401-position model. The record is from RNAcentral. Lineage: Eukaryota; Rhodophyta; Florideophyceae; Bonnemaisoniales; Bonnemaisoniaceae.
UUGUAAUGUGAGCAGCCUGGGUGCGUCAGUGCAGGUAAGUGACAUGAAAAUGUUCGCCGUGGAGGGUGAGAGCCCCGUCCAACCUGCACAGGGCGUGCCGUACAGGGCUGUCUCGAAUGAGUCGGGUAGCUUGGGAAUGCUGCUCUAAGAUCGGUGGUAAAUUUCAUCGAAGGCUAAAUACUGCUGGAAGACCGAUAGUGAACAAGUACCGUGAGGGAAAGAUGAAAAGCACUUUGAAAAGAGGGUGAAAAGAAUCUGAAACCGUUGUGAGGGAAGCGGAUUGCGUUGCAGUAACUGUGGGCGCCGGUGUGUUCAGCCUGUUUCGGCGGGUGUAGUGGCACCGGUGGCUCCGUCUGCUGUGGGUUUGUGGUGGCUGAUUGCAAGGCUGCUGCGGACUGAGGGCUCCGUGCUGCUUUGCGGCGGCACGUGAGGACGGCAGGGUGACGACGCGAUACGACCCGUCUUGAAACACGGACCAAGGAGUCUAGCACAGCUGCGAGUCUGAGGGUGUCAAAGCCUGUGGGCGAAGUGAAAGCGAAAGAUGGCGGUAAUUCCAUAAUUUCAGAAUGACAAAGUUGUUGCAAUUUGGGG